This 522-nucleotide ribosomal RNA is filed under the name Salmonella enterica subsp. enterica serovar Agama. RNAcentral's name for it is "partial 23S ribosomal RNA". It matches the Rfam family "Bacterial large subunit ribosomal RNA", at positions 711 to 1230 of the family's 2925-position model. The record is from RNAcentral. Lineage: Bacteria; Pseudomonadati; Pseudomonadota; Gammaproteobacteria; Enterobacterales; Enterobacteriaceae.
AGACCCGAAACCCGGUGAUCUAGCCAUGGGCAGGUUGAAGGUUGGGUAACACUAACUGGAGGACCGAACCGACUAAUGUUGAAAAAUUAGCGGAUGACCUGUGGCUGGGGGUGAAAGGCCAAUCAAACCGGGAGAUAGCUGGUUCUCCCCGAAAGCUAUUUAGGUAGCGCCUCGUGAACUCAUCUCCGGGGGUAGAGCACUGUUUCGGCUAGGGGGCCAUCCCGGCUUACCAACCCGAUGCAAACUGCGAAUACCGGAGAAUGUUAUCACGGGAGACACACGGCGGGUGCUAACGUCCGUCGUGAAGAGGGAAACAACCCAGACCGCCAGCUAAGGUCCCAAAGUCAUGGUUAAGUGGGAAACGAUGUGGGAAGGCCCAGACAGCCAGGAUGUUGGCUUAGAAGCAGCCAUCAUUUAAAGAAAGCGUAAUAGCUCACUGGUCGAGUCGGCCUGCGCGGAAGAUGUAACGGGGCUAAACCAUGCACCGAAGCUGCGGCAGCGACGCUGAUGCGUUGUUGGGUA